GUGCUCACUUCGGCAGCACAUAUACUAAAAUUGGAACAAUACAGAGAUUAGCAUAGCCCCUCUGCAAGGAUGGCAUGCAAAUUCAUGAAGGAUACCAUAGUUUU
Molecule: small nuclear RNA, 104 nt
Filed under: Canis lupus familiaris (dog)
Lineage: Eukaryota; Metazoa; Chordata; Mammalia; Carnivora; Canidae
Also listed under: 1 other name
Source: RNAcentral